RNAcentral lists this long non-coding RNA (488 nucleotides) under Equus caballus (horse). Its description in RNAcentral is "lncRNA (ENSECAG00000060233.1)". Lineage: Eukaryota; Metazoa; Chordata; Mammalia; Perissodactyla; Equidae. The record is from RNAcentral.
GUGCCUGCCUUGCCUCCUCCUCGAGCUGCAUCUGUAACCCCCACAGAGCAGGGCUGUGCCUUCUCCCAGGGUCCAACCUGGCCUAGCCUCGCCUGUCUCUGACCCUUACUUUCUCCCUUUCUCUGCUGCCCUGCAGGGUCCUUCACACCCAAGAGCCUCGGCGAUGGCAGGGCUUGCCUCUCACCGGUGUCUGCCGAAGCCUCUGCCACCACAGGAUUGCAGCUCGUGCUUCUAAGGGCACCGAAAACCUCAUCUAAGUUCAGUCUGCACUACAACGUCCCCGUCAAGUUCUCAAACUCAACGCUUCCCGGGGUCACAGAGUCCUGCCUUGGAGAGAGAGGGAUUGCUUGAGCAGAGUUCAGCAGAGAAUGGCUCAUCUCUGCUCCAUGCAGUGUAUCCAGGUGGGGUUCAUCCGGCAAGUCGACGCUGGCCGUCACCUGGGAGCUCAGCUAGGCUGUGGGCAGGCGGCCUCAGUUCCCCUCCACAUG